This 5341-nucleotide long non-coding RNA is filed under the name Sus scrofa (pig). RNAcentral's name for it is "lncRNA (ENSSSCG00015031465.1)". Lineage: Eukaryota; Metazoa; Chordata; Mammalia; Artiodactyla; Suidae. The record is from RNAcentral.
CUUGGCUCCUGAGACAUCACGAUGACGGACCGCCCCGUACACUCCGCACCAAGCACUCAGUGUGAGGCUCUGAUAAGCCUGUGCUGAGCGGAACACUGAAUUAAAACAAAAAAUGAUUCUGGCACAGCCUCGUGUCUCCUGAUGGUUGCAGUGUGUUUGCGGAGGACUUUGUCCAGGUCUGGAGCUUGCAAUCUACUGGCACUCGGUUCUGGCACAAAGCGGGAUGUGGUCAGUGCUCUGAGAGACGUACAGGUGCUGAGGGACCGCGGAAGGGAGAGGGGCCAUCCUCGGGCAGUUAGAAAAGUUCAGUCACUUGAAGAGCUGUUGUUGAGCUAUGAAGACUCAUGUGAGUUGUGUCAGGCGAUUAUGUGAAACAAGAUGAAGAGGCUUAAGAGUGGUAAGGAGAGAAGGGGACCAGGUAGAGAGACUAAAACCUGUAACUUAAAAUUAUGCAGAUUGGCAGCAAGACCAGAACUCAGGGCCAAUCAAUGGGGCCCCUUACGUGGUCCACCAAGGGGUCUGAGCUUCGAGGUCGGGCGGGCAGAGCAGGGGAUGUGGCCUCAGAAGGCACGGUUUCUAGUCUCUUUCUACCAGUUCCUAGCCAGGGGCGAGUCCUCUCUACAGGGCUGCUGCCUGCGCCCGUGUGGCAAAGGUGCCCUCAGGCUGGCACAGUCCUGGUCCGAUGUCUUCUUCUGUUCCUGAAGCAGCAGGAAAGGCCUGAAGAUGAUAAUGGGACAAGGCAGUGGCUGAAUUUCAGGGAAACUUAUGACAAAGCUUAUUCUGGGUUUAUUAACUCAAUUUUAAAGAUGGUGAAAUGGAGGCCCAGGGAAGUUAUGGGAAUUGUUUGUCUGGCUCGAGUUUUUCGUCUUCCGAUUUCUAAGCCACACCACACUGCCUCUGGGCUGAGAGACCCCUAGGCCAGGAUCGCAUUCUUCAGGGGCACCCCGGGGGUGCAGGAAGUCGGGGGCCAAAGCGGGACUGCGGCGGUCGGCACUGAGCAUCUGACCUUGGUCCGUGGAGGUGCGAAUCAGGUGAUUAGAGUGGGCCUGAAAUAGUUCCAGAGAUGGGGGGUGGGCACCAGGGAGAGUUAGGCAAAGGGUAUAAACUUUCACCUACGAGAUGAGAAAGGUCUGAGCAUUUAAUAUACAGCCCUGCGACGAUAGCCGAUAGCCCUGUAUCACAUCGCUGACAUUUGCUAAGGAAGUAGAACCUCAAUGUUGUCACCAAAAAGAAAGAAAAGGUUAAACAUUUGAAGUGAUAGGUACGUGCUAGCCAGCCAGCCUCUCCCUAUACACCUGUAGGUCAGAUCGUCACAGUGUCCAUUUUAAGUACCUGACGAUUUUAUUUGUCAAUUACACGUCAAUAAAGCUGAAAAACACAAAGACCUGCGGUUCCCAUAGACGUGGUGGUCCUGGGCCCCAGGCUUAGGCUUUGAGGAGUGUCCAUUUAUGGGCUGUAAUCUUGAACCUUUGCCAGUUCCUCUGAAAGUCUGUGGAUAGUUACAGCAGCAUCUGAUGAUGGUUACCGUCAAGACGCCAUCACUCGGGAAGUAACCAUUUAAAAGCUGUGUUGAUGCCUGUCUGCCUCAGGGGCAGUGAGGCGCAGAGGGUGGACCCAGAAGGCAGCUCCCUUGGCCAGUCUGGCUCCCAAAUGUGCCCACUUUGCGCAAAGUUCAACCUCUUCUGGAAUUUUCUCCCCCAGCCCCUUGAAAGAGAUGGAGAAAACGACCGCCAAAGCUUUGUAAAUACAGCAUAUUAUUUUGUGCUGCUGUCAGUUUUCAGACGUGGUUUUCCAAGUUCAGCUAAGAAGGAAGAGGCUGCUCUGGUGGGGCGCUGGCCCUGCCUGUUCCUGGGGGCAGGGUGGGGGGUGGCGCUAGACGGCGAGAUUUUCCUGGGGAGCCUCUGUGUUGCUCAGGGCGGAGACCCGGCUGUAUCCUUUGCCUCUAGACCUUUGGCUUUCUUUCACUGGUGGACCUGCUGCACAUGUGUUGACACAGCUUUCUCUCUCCCUCUUCUGGGAGCUCAUGGAGGAGUAUGUCUUACGAAUCUUGGAGUCUCCACACAGGAAAAGUAGAAUUGCAUUACCCGUGAGUCAGACCUAUCCAGAUGCUUCUCUCGAUGAUGCAUAGUUGGGGUGCCGGGGGAGAGCAAGAGGGAGAGGGGGUGGAGAGAGAGAGGAAGGGAGGGAGGCAGAUUUCACUCGAGCAAGUAGGGGGCGCCAUUCUCCGAUGCAUGUCGUUAGUCUGUGAUCCUGAAGAAACCGUCUUUGGGAGCCUCUCCUGUUCCAGCUUCUUUCUCUGACGCAGUCCCAGGGUCCCUGUGCUGCUUGUACAGUGAGCACACUGCUGUGCUGGGUGUGAUUCGCGCGUUUAAAGGCACAUGUGUCUCCCGCAACUUGGCUGCAAACCUCAGCCAGGCACUUCCUCUCUGCUCAACUGAAAUCGCCGCAAUCGGUUCCAGUCCUGGAAGAAAAAUGUCUUCUGUUGGAAUUACUGAAAGAUGAGCGGGGAGUUCCCAUGGCAGCUCAGCAGGUUAAGAACCCGUCUAGAAUCCGUGAGGACACAGGUUCAAGCCCUGGCCCCGCUUAGUGGGUUAAGGAUCCGGUGUUGCCGGGAGCUAUGGUAUAGAUCGAAGAUGCAGCUCGGGUCUGGUGUGGCUGUGGCUGUGGUGUAGGCCGGCAGCUGUAGCUCCAAUUUGACUCCCAGCCUGGGAACUUCCAUAUGCUGCAGGUGUCUAAAAAGACAAAAAAAGAAAAAAGAAGAUGAGGGGGGUCAAGCUCCAAUAUAAACCCUUCGUGAGAGAUUUUCCAGGGUAAUCUUGACUCUGCCAUGUGUCUCAUCUCUGCCUUCAAGUAGGGACCCCUGAGCCUCCUAACAUCCUGGCAGUGUCUUGGGCAUGUCCCAUAGCUUUGCCAGUCGCCUUUGGCUUUAGAUUUGCCUCAUUUUAAGACAUUAAAAUGGCCAGUCUAGUUCAACCCACGUCUUUCUUUUCCCACUCAGCUUCAGACUUCUUUGUCUGUUCACUUCCCCCCAAACUUCAGUUCCGCGCAAACCUUUCUAGACCCUGCAGGCGAGACGUGUAAUCUUUUGCUUUUUUGCUAUCACCCUGCUGUAGCCAUCUAUUUUCUCCCCCUUUUCUUUAUGGUCCUGGCUCCUCUUGUGCCAGGGCAAGAGGAUGAGAUGGGCAUUAAAAGGCAAUGCGGUCCUUGACGAGAGGGGUGAAAUCCGCUGUGAUGCUUUUCCAUGGGGCAAAAAGCUGACCAGUGGCUCUCUCAUUCUGGAAAAACGUUUGUGGAUUUUUUGGCGAUGUCUGUGGGGAUCUCUGGCGCAGCACCGCUCCUCAGUGUUGUUGGAGAUGCUGAGUUCUUACAACGCUUCUCUUAGCUCCUGCUUGGGGUGGUAGACCGCCAGCCUCACUCUGCUGGUGUCGUCCUGCCCUAACGUGUGGCCUCUUUCCGUGGAGACCUUUCAAGAUAGGAGCUAAUGAGAUGACACUUAGUUCAGAGGAAAAAUAACUUCCUUGUCCCACCAAAUUCUGGGAGAAUAAACCCAUCAUAUUGCUGUCUUUUCUUGUCACUGCGGUCUACACAAGUUUUAUCUCCACCCUUGGGACACUGAAAGCAUCUCCUAAGAAUUGCCCAGGCUCAGCUCUGGUCCAAGGUCAUUGGACAGUCCCUGCAGCUCAGCAUCUCUCGUGGAGGCCAUCCUGUCAGUUGUCUCUUCUAAGAAAGACAAAGCCAUGUGAUUUCACUUCGAUGUGGAAUCUAAAAUCUGGCACAAAUGAACCUAUCUACAGAGUAGAAACAGACUCACAGACAUAGAGAACAGACGGUGGUUGCCCGGGGGAGGGGGAGGGCGUGGGAUGGACGGGGAGUUUGGGGUCAGUAGAUGCAAACUAUUCCAUUUAGGAUGGAUAAGCAAUGAGGUCCUGCUGUACAGCACAGGGAACGGUAGCCAGUCUCUUGGGACAGAACAUGAUGGAAGAUAAAAAGAAUAUGAUAAAAAGAAUGUUUAUAUAUGUAUGACUGGGUCAUUUUGCUGUACAGCAGAAAUUGGCACAACAUUAUAAAUUAAAUAUGCUUUAAUUAAAACAUUUUUUUAAAAGAAAAGAAAAAAAAAGGUCUCUUCUAGAAGACUCCCUAUCUCUAACAAGAGACUUUCUUGAAGCUCCUUUCUUAUUUGGCUUAGGAGGGUUCUCUAAGAGGAGAGUUGGGGACAUGCUACCAAACGUGACUCAAGAUGACACUUCUUUUCUUUUUUGUCUUUUUAGGGCUGCAUCUGCGGCAUAUGGAGGUUCCCAGGCUAGGGUUGAAUCGGAGCUGUUGCUGCUGGCCUACGCCAGAGCCGCAGCAACGCGGGAUCCAAGCUGUGUCUGUGACCUACACCACAGGUCAUGGCAAUGCCGGAUUCUUAACCCACUGAGCGAGGCCAAGGAUCGAACCUAUGUCCUUAUGGACACGCAUGGUAGUAUCCGUUACUGCUGAGCCACAAUGGGAACUCUGAUCUCUAGUGUCUUGAGUUCUCUUAUCCGCCUGGAUUUGGGUUAAAGCAUUAGUUUUUCUACCUUGUGGUUAAGUCUUCCAAGGAUUUAUAUUGUUUUUGUAUCAGAUGUAUGGAUAUUGGUUAUUUUCUGCUUUGGGCUUCAGUUUAAGUUUCAAGAAAAUUGGAAAGUCCCUUUCAACAGUUCAAUAGAGUAAUGUGAGUUUUUUUGCCUUGUGUGCUAAUUUUAAAAGCCACAUUCCCACUCAAGUAGUUUCACCACAUGCACAAGUGCUCAAUACAUACUUUUGAAUUGAACUAUGCUCAUAUCUAUUAAAGGUCAAGCCAAGAGACUUGACCUCUAGAGAAUUCUCUUUCACUGAUCUAAGAUCAGCUCUCAAAAUGGGAACUACCUCUUGAAACUAAUUUUCCAAAAAGGCCUGCAAGCAGAACCCUGACCCUAAGAUCUGUCAAAGAUAGCACAAAAAGGGAAAAAUAUCCAUAAACUCUACCAGGAAAUUAAAAAACAUUCUCCUAAAUAAAAGAUAGCAAAUGGAAUCCAGUGCAAUAGCAAAAGAAUAUAAUUAAAUUGAUUCAGUUCAGGAAUGCAAGGAUAAUUAUUAGGAAAUAUGUUAAUGUAAUCUGCCAUAUGACCAGAUCAAAAGAGAAAAACCUUUCAAUAAGUAGUGAAUUUUAGUUUUAUUUGAAAAAUUAAAUAUCUUUGCCAGAAUUAAACUUUUCAUGGUAGAAAUUGAUGGAUUAUCCUUAAUAUGACAAAAAUACAUUUUAAUUUAAAAUCUAGCAUCCUUCUUAGUAAUAAAAUGCUAGGAGAAUUCUUAUUGAAGUCAGGAACAAAAAAAAAAA